RNAcentral lists this long non-coding RNA (333 nucleotides) under Triticum aestivum (bread wheat). RNAcentral describes it as "long non-coding RNA (TAES_LNC003498)". Lineage: Eukaryota; Viridiplantae; Streptophyta; Magnoliopsida; Poales; Poaceae. The record is from RNAcentral.
GAAAAACAAGGCCAAAAAGAUGUAUAGAAAAGACAAAUAAAGCUCAAUCUUAUUGAGCUUGUGCUUGAACUCCUAGAUAUAAAUGUCAUGCUCUCGAUCCCAUUUUUUAUACUCUUUUGCUUCAUCUUGUCGUGACUGUAGAGCAUUUGGAAAUUGCAUUUUUGUUACUAUCUGGAAAACAAUGGAAAAAAAUUUGGCGUGCUAAGCACUUACCUAUGCAAAUGUAGCGAAGUGUCCUUGUACUUCGGCGGGGUCUCUUGAAAUAAGCCAAACUAUGUCAUAACUCAUUGUGGUUGAUGAAACUCAACAACAUAGUAACAAAUCAACGGGCAA